UACAGAGGUCCCAAGCGUUGUUCGGAUUCAUUGGGCGUAAAGGGUGUGUAGGUGGCGCCGUAAGUCGGGUGUGAAAUUUCGGAGCUUAACUCCGAACCUGCAUUCGAUACUGCGGUGCUUGAGGACUGGAGAGGAGACUGGAAUUCAUGGUGUAGCAGUGAAAUGCGUAGAGAUCAUGAGGAAGACCAGUGGCGAAGGCGGGUCUCUGGACAGUUCCUGACACUGAGACACGAAGGCCAGGGGAGCAAACGGG
RNAcentral lists this ribosomal RNA (253 nucleotides) under uncultured bacterium. Its description in RNAcentral is "partial 16S ribosomal RNA". It matches the Rfam family "Bacterial small subunit ribosomal RNA", at positions 524 to 776 of the family's 1533-position model. The record is from RNAcentral.